RNAcentral lists this ribosomal RNA (484 nucleotides) under uncultured bacterium. RNAcentral describes it as "partial 16S ribosomal RNA". It matches the Rfam family "Bacterial small subunit ribosomal RNA", at positions 30 to 507 of the family's 1533-position model. The record is from RNAcentral.
AUUGAACGCUGGCGGCAGGCCUAACACAUGCAGGUCGAGCGGAUGGAGGGAGCUUGCUCCUGGAUUCAGCGGCGGACGGGUGAGUAAUGCCUAGGAAUCUGCCUGGUAGUGGGGGAUAACGUCCGGAAACGGGCGCUAAUACCGCAUACGUCCUGAGGGAGAAAGUGGGGGAUCUUCGGACCUCACGCUAUCAGAUGAGCCUAGGUCGGAUUAGCUAGUUGGUGGGGUAAAGGCCUACCAAGGCGACGAUCCGUAACUGGUCUGAGAGGAUGAUCAGUCACACUGGAACUGAGACACGGUCCAGACUCCUACGGGAGGCAGCAGUGGGGAAUAUUGGACAAUGGGCGAAAGCCUGAUCCAGCCAUGCCGCGUGUGUGAAGAAGGUCUUCGGAUUGUAAAGCACUUUAAGUUGGGAGGAAGGGCAGUAAGUUAAUACCUUGCUGUUUUGACGUUACCAACAGAAUAAGCACCGGCUAACUUCGUG